This 253-nucleotide ribosomal RNA is filed under the name uncultured bacterium. RNAcentral describes it as "partial 16S ribosomal RNA". It matches the Rfam family "Bacterial small subunit ribosomal RNA", at positions 524 to 776 of the family's 1533-position model. The record is from RNAcentral.
GACGAACCGUGCAAACGUUGUUCGGAAUCACUGGGCUUAAAGGGCGCGUAGGCGGGCCGGCAAGUCGAAGGUGAAAUCCCACGGCUCAACCGUGGAAGUGCCCCCGAUACUGCCUGUCUCGAGGGAGAUAGGGGCGUGCGGAACUUCCGGUGGAGCGGUGAAAUGCGUAGAUAUCGGAAGGAACACCGGUGGCGAAAGCGGCGCGCUGGAUCUCUUCUGACGCUGAUGCGCGAAAGCCAGGGGAGCAAACGGG